RNAcentral lists this ribosomal RNA (253 nucleotides) under uncultured bacterium. RNAcentral's name for it is "partial 16S ribosomal RNA". It matches the Rfam family "Bacterial small subunit ribosomal RNA", at positions 524 to 776 of the family's 1533-position model. The record is from RNAcentral.
UACAGGGGGGGCAAGCGUUGUUCGGAAUUACUGAGCGUAAAGGGCUCGUAGGCGGCCAACUAAGUCACACGUGAAAUCCCCAGGCUUAACCUGGGAACUGCGUGUGAUACUGGAUGGCUUGAAUCCGGGAGAGGGAUGCAGAAUUCCAGGUGUAGCGGUGAAAUGCGUAGAUAUCUGGAGGAAUACCGGUGGCGAAGGCGGCAUCCUGGACCGGCAUUGACGCUGAUGAGCGAAAGCUAGGGGAGCAAACGGG